Non-coding RNA from Agelaius phoeniceus (red-winged blackbird), 1111 nucleotides. The record is from RefSeq and is a predicted model, not a curated record. Lineage: Eukaryota; Metazoa; Chordata; Aves; Passeriformes; Icteridae.
CGAAGCCUCCGUCCGGCCGCCCGCACGGAGCCGAGCGGCGCGGAAGGGGCGUCCGCCCGGUGCCUCGGCCUCGCUCAGCGGUCCCGGUGGCGGGGGCUGAGCUCGGGCGGGGCGCGCUGCCGCCCGCCGAUGGCGGAGCGCCAGGCGGUGCUUUGCUGCCGCGGGCCGGGAGCUGCAGGAGCCACCCCGGGCGAGCGGCGCCGGGCGCUGCCGCGGUCACUGUGCGGCGGCUGCCCUCGGGCUGGCGGAGGCGCGGGAGCCGCCGAGCUGCAGCCGUCUCCCUCGGGCCGCUGCCGCUGCUGCGGGCGGGGGCGGACGAGCGGCUGCGGAGGCGGCUCCGCGGCGUGCUCAGCCUUGCGAGCAGAGAGCGCUCGACAUCGCUGGCAUGACACGGCUGCUGAGUGCCUCAGUGCUCGUGGCUCUUUCUUCCACGCAAACAGAUGGAGCGGCAUCGCUGAGCAGUAAAACACAGCGAUGGCCCGGAGAAUGGCGAGCGCAAGGAGCGCCGGGCAGGAUCCUUCUGAUGGCACAGUGCCAGGAGUCUGGAGAAACUGGAGAAGAGCCCAAGAGACAUUUUUCAUCCUGAGAUACAAAAGGGCAGGGAAGGACUCUCGUAUCCCGGUCGUCAGACUCAGCGCUGCCCGAGAAGAUACAGAGACUGUAAAAAUCAUAAGAAGCAACUAGGACUGCAGAGGAAACAAACUGGAGAGAACAAAAGGUCGUGCUCUGAUGCAUUUACAGAAGCCAUGGCAGGAGAGAGUCAGCUGCUGGAGAAGAGGAGACAGUACUAUCCCUGUGCAGCACAGAACUGUGCUGCUGCUGUGUCAUCAGCUGUGUCUGCACUGAAAGUAGCCACCUUCACUUGUAGGUAGCUCCUUGGUGCUUUAGGACACGCUGAGGGAUUUAUUCCUUUUGGGAUCCACGAUGAGAAUUCCCAAGAGAGGUAGUAGUAAUAAGGUCUGAGAUUGGAAAAAAGCCUGUGUCCUUGGAAUGUUGUUGUUGUCGUCCAAAGUUAAUUUUUCCUUCUUUCUUAGCCAGUAGUCGGCUUUUUGCUUUAUUUUUUGUGGUAUCAGUAUUUGAUUGUUUAAAAAAUUGCUUCAAAAGAACUGCA